CAAACUGGGAUUAGAUACCCCACUAUGCUCAGCCCUAAACAUAAAUAGUUCUAACAACAAAACUAUCUGCCAGAGAACUACUAGCAACAGCUUAAAACUCAAAGGACUUGGCGGUGCUUUACAUCCCUCUAGAGGAGCCUGUUCU
This 145-nucleotide ribosomal RNA is filed under the name Mustela erminea (ermine). RNAcentral describes it as "partial 12S ribosomal RNA". Lineage: Eukaryota; Metazoa; Chordata; Mammalia; Carnivora; Mustelidae. The record is from RNAcentral.